RNAcentral lists this ribosomal RNA (496 nucleotides) under uncultured bacterium. RNAcentral's name for it is "partial 16S ribosomal RNA". It matches the Rfam family "Bacterial small subunit ribosomal RNA", at positions 28 to 507 of the family's 1533-position model. The record is from RNAcentral.
GAUGAACGCUGGCGGCGUGCCUAAUACACGCAAGUCGAGCGAACGGACGAGAAGCUUGCUUCUCUGAUGUUAGCGGCGGACGGGUGAGUAACACGUGGAUAACCUACCAUAAGACUGGGAUAACUUCGGGAAACCGGAGCUAAUACCGGAUAAUAUUUUGAACCGCAUGGUUCAAAAGUGAAAGACGGUCUUGCUGUCACUUAUAGAUGGAUCCGCGCUGCAUUAGCUAGUUGGUAAGGUAACGGCUUACCAAGGCAACGAUGCAUAGCCGACCUGAGAGGGUGAUCGGCCACACUGGAACUGAGACACGGUCCAGACUCCUACGGGAGGCAGCAGUAGGGAAUCUUCCGCAAUGGGCGAAAGCCUGACGGAGCAACGCCGCGUGAGUGAUGAAGGUCUUCGGAUCGUAAAACUCUGUUAUUAGGGAAGAACAUAUGUGUAAGUAACUGUGCACAUCUUGACGGUACCUAAUCAGAAAGCCACGGCUAACUACGUG